AGGACCAGGACCAGACCAGACCAGCAGGACCAGGACCAGACCAGACCAGCAGGACCAGGACCAGACCAGACCAGCAGGACCAGGACCAGACCAGACCAGCAGCUGGAGUCUCAGCUGCAGCUCCUCGGUGCUUCAGAUUUGGUGCUAAAUGGAACCAUUUGUUACCUCUAGAGAAUUGAUCAAAAUGAUCAAUAAUCCUCCAGAAUCCCACAUUAAGACAUCAAGACCUCGAGGAGCACCAGAGAAGAAGACAUGCUGUGAUUUGGGAU
Sebastes umbrosus (honeycomb rockfish) is the source of this 269-nucleotide long non-coding RNA. RefSeq lists it as uncharacterized. Lineage: Eukaryota; Metazoa; Chordata; Actinopteri; Perciformes; Sebastidae. The record is from RefSeq and is a predicted model, not a curated record. The transcript is spliced from 2 exons.